This 468-nucleotide ribosomal RNA is filed under the name uncultured bacterium. RNAcentral describes it as "partial 16S ribosomal RNA". It matches the Rfam family "Bacterial small subunit ribosomal RNA", at positions 28 to 507 of the family's 1533-position model. The record is from RNAcentral.
GACGAACGCUGGCGGCGUGCUUAACACAUGCAAGUCGAACGGAAAGGCCCUGCUUUUGUGGGGUGCUCGAGUGGCGAACGGGUGAGUAACACGUGAGUAUCCUGCCCUUGACUUUGGGAUAACUUCAGGAAACUGGGGCUAAUACCGGAUAGGAGCUCCUGCUGCAUGGUGGGGGUUGGAAAGUUUCGGCGGUUGGGGAUGGACUCGCGGCGUAUCAGCUUGUUGGUGGGGUAGUGGCUUACCAAGGCUUUGACGGGUAGCCGGCCUGAGAGGGUGACCGGCCACAUUGGGACUGAGAUACGGCCCAGACUCCUACGGGAGGCAGCAGUGGGGAAUAGUGCACAAUGGGCGGAAGCCUGAUGCAGCAACGCCGCGUGCGGGAUGACGGCCUUCGGGUUGUAAACCGCUUUCGCCUGUGACGAAGCGUGAGUGACGGUAAUGGGUAAAGGAGCACCGGCUAACUACGUG